This 353-nucleotide ribosomal RNA is filed under the name uncultured bacterium. RNAcentral's name for it is "bacterial SSU rRNA". It matches the Rfam family "Bacterial small subunit ribosomal RNA", at positions 154 to 507 of the family's 1533-position model. The record is from RNAcentral.
AAAGGAAGAUUAAUACUCCCAUAAUAUAUUGAUGGCAUCGAUUGAUAUUGAAAGCUCCGGCGGAUAGAGAUGGGCACGCGCAAGAUUAGCUAGUUGGUGAGGUAACGGCUCACCAAGGCGAUGAUCUUUAGGGGCCUGAGAGGGUGAUCCCCCACACUGGUACUGAGACACGGACCAGACUCCUACGGGAGGCAGCAGUGAGGAAUAUUGGUCAAUGGGUGCAAGCCUGAACCAGCCAUCCCGCGUGAAGGACGACUGCCCUAUGGGUUGUAAACUUCUUUUGUAUAGGGAUAAACCUACCCUCGUGAGGGUAGCUGAAGGUACUAUACGAAUAAGCACCGGCUAACUCCGUG